This 173-nucleotide non-coding RNA is filed under the name Fructilactobacillus florum. RNAcentral's name for it is "Lactobacillus florum Lysine sequence". It matches the Rfam family "Lysine riboswitch aptamer". Rfam says of the family: Riboswitches are metabolite binding domains within certain messenger RNAs that serve as precision sensors for their corresponding targets. Allosteric rearrangement of mRNA structure is mediated by ligand binding, and this results in modulation of gene expression. RNAcentral also lists the same sequence under 1 other name. Lineage: Bacteria; Bacillati; Bacillota; Bacilli; Lactobacillales; Lactobacillaceae. The record is from RNAcentral.
AAAUCAAAUAGAGGUCGCAGGUAAUAAGAGUAGUUAGUGGAGCUGCCAUUCAGCUGAGAAACUAACCAAAGGGUUAGCUGCCGAAGUGCUAAGGAAUGGGCCUUAGUUAACUGGGACAUGACUUAAGAGGUCAUGGACUGUCGGGAUACAUGUCUCGGGGAGCUAUGAACAAA